Long non-coding RNA from Pogona vitticeps (central bearded dragon), 1720 nucleotides. Lineage: Eukaryota; Metazoa; Chordata; Lepidosauria; Squamata; Agamidae. The record is from Ensembl.
UGAGACUCUGAGGGGAUAGCAUGCAUUUCUGGAGACCUCUUUUCUAGAGAUGAGGGACCAGGGACAGAGACUUUGUCACUCUCUAUCAUCUGAAGGCCAAAAACAGGACACCUAUUAAUUGUAACGUCCACAUGUAUUUUUUAAAUUGCCGCAUCCCGGUAUCAGCAGGGAGAGCAGCUUGCAGCUUGGUUUAACAUGCUGCUAACUGCCACCUACAGAUGCAAGCAUGAAACAUAUACAGUCCCUGGGCCUAUUGAAUUAUUUAAAGUAUAAAGCAUAAUGCAAUGCUUUUGCUGUGCCAAAGAGAAAUGAUUCUCUUUGGAGAUCAUAUCCUGGAGAUUGUAUUAGACUCGUCUCCCCAGUUCCCUGCUUUCAGCCUUUCCAGUAACAUGAAGCACUUAUCAAAUUAGAAUUCUUCAGAAACAGAAUGGCACAGACCAGUCUAUAUUUAGCAACAACAACCCCAAAGCAGCUGAAUCAGCUGACUGGAAGCUGCUACCCUGAUGUGCAGCCUUGGUUUAGAUAGCACAUAUUCAACGCUAGAAUCAAGGAGGACAGACAGCACAAGAGAAGAGACGCUGAGCCUGGACAUUUAAGAGCAUCUGGGUCAUACCCUGAAACAGAUCCAGUCAGGUUUCUAGAUGGCGUUGCUUUGCAGCUCCUCCUGCCCAUUCCCACUGUGUUCCCAAUCUCCUGUUGUGUUCCUUCAUCUGCUCUAAACUACACCUAGAUCCUGUCUAACACAGCAGAUGAAGGAGAGGGAUGAGGGAAUGGACUGCAGAGAGAAUUGAUGUGAUAAGGGACAGUAACUGGAUUGUAAAGUGUGUUAUUUAUACAUAGAAAGCCCCAUUUUCUAUUUCCAGAAAUGGCUCCUUCGGAUUCUUGUUCUGGUGAAGAAAACUACCUUCAAUCUGUCUACCAGCAGGCAAGGCCUGCGUUCCUGGUACCACCAGAAAAUAAGCAUAAAAUCCAAGACAUCAACAAAUCUAGAAAGCUACACAAUAAUUACAGGGUCUUAAAAUUCUCUGAAACACCAAAAAUGGUCUCCAGAUACACCCUUCCUAACAUGCUAUUGUUAGAGAGACAGUGCUUCGUUCUUGAUUGCAUCAAAACUUACUCCAGCUCAAACAUGGACCCAUUGGAUACAGACACUCAGAAAAAUCAUAGGUGGAGAUGUCCUAAGGGCUAUGAGAACACUGAUAAUGAUGACGCAAAGCACAACUUUCAUGGCAUCAGUCUGGGCACACCUCAAGAAAAAGUAAUAGAGAAACGCGAUCUUGUCAGCCUCUUUCCAAGAAUUCCCUCCCCGAGACCACCGCCCAAGGAAGAUGGUGGCCAAGAGCUAAGAAACCUGAAAAACCAAGACAAGAUGCAAACUCUGAAAAGCAAUCCAAAUCAGAAAGAAAAUGAACUCCUUAUUGUUAAUGGCAAAUCCAUAUGGCUGCAUCCACCCAAAGAAGCCGCACUUGGUGCCAAGGUUAUGAGAUCACAAAGAGGGCAACCAACAGUGAAGACAGCAACCUGUUCUGAAAGAGAGAAGGUAAAAUCUUCCAUUUAUAUUCCAGAUAGCAAGAGAGAAGCAAGUAGCAGAGAACACCAUGUGCAGUUCUUCCAUAGUGAUCAACCGGCUGCAAAUUUGGACUGGCUUUCAGAAUACCGAAGUGCAUGGAAAGAAGCAAAGAUGAGGGCUUGCCUGCUCCCAGCCAUUGCCGAAUCAUGA